GAAAGGCCUGGGAGUCCUGCAGAAUCUUUGCUUAGCCUGGAGGUAAAGAUCCCUUGAAUGCUGUAGGUCUCCUGUCAAGAUUCUCCGGCUCAAAAUGUGGGGCAGAAACCACCAGCAGAACCAUGCCAGCCAACUGGCUUGGAAGAGGGUGCUCCUGUGUGGGCCCCAGAAGGAUGGAGCUGGGAAGCAGGAAGGAGGAAGCACAACAGCGCGGCUCUGUCACACGCCUUCGCACAACAGUCUGUCAGCAAGAGCCAAGGUUUCAGUGAAAACAAGCCUUUCCUCACUGCCUGCGGCCCACAUGGACACCCAGGAUCCAGGCACGGUUGCUGGGGGAAGAGGACUCGGCCCUGCUUCAGGGAGCAGCACCAGAGAUGGGAGAAGGAAAAUAAUAUGGGUGUCAUGGCUUUUCCUAAAACAGAGGUUCCUAAACAGGACUGCACAGCUCCAAGUAGCCCCGGGUCCCCUAUGGGCGCAGGCCUAGGCAGAGAGUCACCAGUCAAAAUAUAAGACACUCAGUUAAAUCUGGAUAUCAGACAAACAAAAAAAUUUUUAGUAUGUCCCAUGCAGUUUUGGGAUCUACUUAUACCUUAAAAAUUACUUUUCUGAAAUUCAAACUUAACCGUAUUUUUAAUUACUAACCUGGCAAACUUACUUAGGUGUGCUGCUUUUCUUUUAUUUACCUUGGGGCUUAGGUUAAAUUUUUUUGGAAUCAAGAUUUUUGCUGCCAAAAGCACGAGAGUUUUGAAAGUCAUGCCUAGAUCUUCGUGUGUUUUUUUUUACAUUGAAAAACUU
This is a long non-coding RNA of Lutra lutra (Eurasian river otter), 795 nucleotides long. RefSeq lists it as uncharacterized. The transcript is spliced from 3 exons. Lineage: Eukaryota; Metazoa; Chordata; Mammalia; Carnivora; Mustelidae. The record is from RefSeq and is a predicted model, not a curated record.